RNAcentral lists this ribosomal RNA (587 nucleotides) under uncultured bacterium. RNAcentral describes it as "bacterial SSU rRNA". It matches the Rfam family "Bacterial small subunit ribosomal RNA", at positions 338 to 917 of the family's 1533-position model. The record is from RNAcentral.
CCUACGGGAGGCAGCAGUGGGGAAUUUUGGACAAUGGGGGCAACCCUGAUCCAGCAAUGCCGCGUGAGUGAAGAAGGCCUUCGGGUUGUAAAGCUCUUUUGUCAGGGAAGAAACGGUGCGAGCUAAUAUCUCGUGCUAAUGACGGUACCUGAAGAAUAAGCACCGGCUAACUACGUGCCAGCAGCCGCGGUAAUACGUAGGGUGCAAGCGUUAAUCGGAAUUACUGGGCGUAAAGCGUGCGCAGGCGGUUUUGUAAGACUGUCGUGAAAUCCCCGGGCUCAACCUGGGAAUGGCGAUGGUGACUGCAAGGCUAGAGUUUGGGCAGAGGGGGGUAGAAUUCCACGUGUAGCAGUGAAAUGCGUAGAUAUGUGGAGGAACACCGAUGGCGAAGGCAGCCCCCUGGGUCAAACUGACGCUCAUGCACGAAAGCGUGGGGAGCAAACAGGAUUAGAUACCCUGGUAGUCCACGCCCUAAACGAUGUCUACUAGUUGUCGGGUUUUAAUUAACUUGGUAACGCAGCUAACGCGUGAAGUAGACCGCCUGGGGAGUACGGUCGCAAGNUUAAAACUCAAAUGAAAUUGACCGG